This 253-nucleotide ribosomal RNA is filed under the name uncultured bacterium. RNAcentral's name for it is "partial 16S ribosomal RNA". It matches the Rfam family "Bacterial small subunit ribosomal RNA", at positions 524 to 776 of the family's 1533-position model. The record is from RNAcentral.
UACAGAGGGGGCAAGCGUUAUUCGGAAUUAUUGGGCGUAAAGGGCGCGUAGGCGGCUUGGCAAGUGGAUGGUGAAAUCCCUCGGCUUAACCGAGGAACUGCCGUCCAAACUGCUUCGCUUGAGACCGGGAGAGGUGAGUGGAAUUCCCAGUGUAGCGGUGAAAUGCGUAGAUAUUGGGAGGAACACCAGUGGCGAAGGCGGCUCACUGGACCGGUUCUGACGCUGAGGCGCGAAAGCGUGGGGAGCAAACGGG